This 873-nucleotide ribosomal RNA is filed under the name Coltricia cinnamomea. RNAcentral describes it as "eukaryotic LSU rRNA". It matches the Rfam family "Eukaryotic large subunit ribosomal RNA", at positions 66 to 915 of the family's 3401-position model. Lineage: Eukaryota; Fungi; Basidiomycota; Agaricomycetes; Hymenochaetales; Hymenochaetaceae. The record is from RNAcentral.
UAACAAGGAUUCCCCUAGUAACUGCGAGUGAAGCGGGAAGAGCUCAAAUUUAAAAUCUGGCAGCUUUGCUGUCCGAGUUGUAAUCUGUAGAAGUGUUUUCUGCAUUGGACCGUGUACAAGUCUCUUGGAACAGAGCGUCAUAGAGGGUGAGAAUCCCGUCCAUGACAUGGACUACCAAUGCUUUGUGAUACACUCUCAAAGAGUCGAGUUGUUUGGGAAUGCAGCUCAAAAUGGGUGGUAAAUUCCAUCUAAAGCUAAAUACAAGCGAGAGACCGAUAGUGAACAAGUACCGUGAGGGAAAGAUGAAAAGCACUUUGGAAAGAGAGUUAAACAGUAUGUGAAAUUGUUGAAAGGGAAACACUUGAAGUCAGUCACAUUCUGCAGGACUCAACCUUGUCCUUAGGGACUUGGUGUAUUUCCUGUAGAAUGGGUCAACAUCAAUCUUGGCCAGUGGAUAAAGGGGGAGAGAAUGUAGCACCUUUGCAGGUGUGUUAUAGCUCUCUUUCAUAUACAUUGGCUGGGAUUGAGGACUGCAGCAUGCCCUCUGGGGCCAGGACUUUAUCUAUGUCUCAUGCUUAGGAUGUUGACAAAAUGGCUUUAAGUGACCCGUCUUGAAACACGGACCAAGGAGUCUAACAUGCCUGCGAGUAUUUGGGUGGAAAACCCUUAUGCAUAAUGAAAGUGAAAAUUGGGAACCCACAUAAAUGGGGGUGCACUGAUGCCUGGCCCUGAUGUUUACUGACGGUGCUACGGUAGAGCAUGUAUGUUGGGACCCGAAAGAUGGUGAACUAUGCCUGAGUAGGGUGAAGCCAGAGGAAACUCUGGUGGAGGCUCGUAGCGAUUCUGACGUGCAAAUCGAUCGUCAAACUUGGG